RNAcentral lists this long non-coding RNA (1113 nucleotides) under Physcomitrium patens. RNAcentral describes it as "long non-coding RNA (PPAT_LNC001472)". Lineage: Eukaryota; Viridiplantae; Streptophyta; Bryopsida; Funariales; Funariaceae. The record is from RNAcentral.
UUUUGUGGAUUAAUGGUCAUAGUUGUACUUAAUAUGUGUUGUGAAUCUUAUUUCGAUCUAACAGUUGAAUUGAGGAUUAUUGAGGUUUAAGUGGGUCAAGGUCUCAAAAAGUAGAAUUUUAGGUCUAGUGAGGAUUUUUAAGAUUUCUUGCAAUCUACUGGUUGGAUUGGAAUGAAAUUUAUGUGAGAAGAUAUUAAACUUGUUUUCUUAUGUGUAAAAAUUUUGAAAUCAAUAAAAUAAUAAAAAAGAGAGAUAUUGGCUCUGGAAGAUUGGCAUUAAGGUCAAAGAAGGACUCUAGCCAAUAUUCAAGCACGUUUUUGAGGCUAUCGUCUAUUUGAUAAUUCCGAUCCUUUUCAAUUUUUUUGUGCUUGUUGUAAACUUAAUUGUUAAAAAGCAUGAAAAUUUUGAGUUAAGACUAAUGGUUCAUUCACUAGUAAUUGAGGUAUAAAUCUGUUGUAGGAAUUACUAAGAUUUGAUUUAGGGUUUAGGAUUUGAUUUAGGAUUUGAUUAGGGUUUGAUUUAGGGUUAGGAUUUGGUUAAGAUUUGGUUAGAGUUUGAUUUAGGAUUAAGAUUUGGUUUAGGAUUUAAGAUUUGGUUAGGGCUAGAUUUAGGAUUAAGAUUUGGUUUAGGGUUUAGGAUUUAGUUAGGACUAGAUUUAGGAUUAAGAUUUGGUUAGGAUUUGAUUUAGGAUUUAGGAUUUGAUUUAGGAUUGAUUAGAAUUCGAUUUAGGAUUAGGAUUUGAUUUAGGAUUUAUGGUUUAAUUAGAGUUUGAUUUAAGAUUAGGAUUUGAUUUAGAAUUUAGGAUUUAAUUAGGAUUUGAUUUAGGAUUUAAGGUUUUAUUUAAAUUUAUUUAAGAUUUAAUAUUUAAUUCAUUUUUGGCCUAAAGUUUGAAUGAAGUCCAUUAGAAUUUUAACUAGGAUUAUAUUAAGAUUGAAUUGAGAUGUAUUUGAGAUAUAUUUGGGAUCAUUCUAAUAUUUUUUUUAAGAUUUCUUAUUAUUUCUUUAUAAUUACUUUAAGAUUUCUUUGAAUUUGAUUAAAGCUUGCUUAGCAUUGUUAUGGUCUAAUUAGAGUUUAGUUAGUAUUCUAUUAGAGUUAGGAUUUUGUUGUUGUAAU